Molecule: ribosomal RNA, 443 nt
Filed under: uncultured bacterium
Lineage: Bacteria
Description: bacterial SSU rRNA
Rfam family: Bacterial small subunit ribosomal RNA
Source: RNAcentral
ACUCCUACGGGAGGCAGCAGUGGGGAAUAUUGCACAAUGGGGGAAACCCUGAUGCAGCCAUGCCGCGUGUGUGAAGAAGGCCUUCGGGUUGUAAAGCACUUUCAGUAGGGAGGAAGGUAGUGUAGUUAACACCUGCAUUAUUUGACGUUACCUACAGAAGAAGCACCGGCUAACUCCGUGCCAGCAGCCGCGGUAAUACGGAGGGUGCGAGCGUUAAUCGGAAUUACUGGGCGUAAAGCGCAUGCAGGCGGCCUGUUAAGUCAGAUGUGAAAGCCCGGGGCUUAACCGUCGGAAUUGCAUUUGAAACUGGCAGGCUAGAGUCUUGUAGAGGGGUUAGAAUUUCGAGUGUAGCGUGAAAUGCGUAGAGAUCUAGAAGGAAUACCGAGUGGCGAACGGCGGCCCCCGUAGGACAAAGACUGACGCUCAGAUGCGAAAGCGUGGGA